CCAAAUGAAUAGAUUAAAUGGACAAUUAAAGUGAACAUUAAUUUUAAGGAUCUAAAUAUACCCAAACAUGAAUUAGGGAACAAAAGAAAAUGGUAUAUUAAUAAUCCAAAUCAUGAAUUGAAUUCUAAUCUAAAUGAACAUGAUCAUGACAAUCAUAAUGUGAUAUACGGAUUGAAUGAAGAAAUUAACCUAUAACGAAAUCAUGGUAAAAUCAAUAUCUAACUAUAUAAAUCCCAAUCUACACAAUGAUCACAAUGGAUUAUCAAAAACCAAUGGCAAAUUAUAUCAUAUUGUGGCAUGAUUAACAAUGGCAUUAAUUCUAAAACAUCGGGAUCAAAAUCUACAUGAUGCCCAGCCUAUACAUUGCUCCAUCUUAACGGGAUUCCUUGCUCGAACAACACCUUCGACAGCAUAUCAUAGAACUCCAUCGACGGUGCAUAACCCUCGCACGCACAACCCAUAAAAACUCACCGAAAAAACAAGAAAUCAGUUUCUUCCACGAUGAAAAAGUCGAGAACGACGGUGGAUUCGUGAUGUAUUUCAACACCGAGACUGAAAUUUCGCACGAAAUGGAGAAGAUUGAAGAGGGAAGAACCUUGUAUUUGUGUUGUUGAUCUUGUUGAUUCGUGAUGGAGAUCGUAUGAUGAAUGCUGAAAUGCUUUAUUCCGCGUUCGUCGAUGCCGAUUUAUCGUUGAUGAUAAAGAGUGAAGCUUGGUUCGUGCGUUGUUGAUUGAAGCUGAAGACGAAGAUUUGUUCGGACUUGUGCAUUGAGAUGAACUGGUAUGUGUCGUCGACUUCUCGUCGAAGUUGAGGCCAUGGUUUUGGGAUUUACUUGAACUUUGGAUGGGCAUUGGCUUGGAAUUGCUUGGGUGGAGCUUUGGACAUGUUGGUCAUCAAGUGGUUAUUGGAUUUUGGGUUUUGUAGUUUUUGGGAGAUAGGAUUAGGUAUGCAAUGUUGGUUUACAAUUGCAUGUGAUUGGAAUCCAGGUUGUGUAAAAAAUGGUUUUUGUUGCAAUUUGAAAUUGGGAAUAACAUUGUAAUGGUUGUGUUGAACGGUUAUGUAUAGUCAUGUAAUUGGAAUUUUGAAUGAAUAGGAUUUGGAUCAUGACUUUGUAAUUUUAGAAGUGUAAUGUAAUUUGAAUGUUUUAAUUGUAAUGAAUGGUUUUGUAAUAAAUAAAAUGGAAAUUUGAAUGUAA
Molecule: long non-coding RNA, 1195 nt
Organism: Lathyrus oleraceus (garden pea)
Lineage: Eukaryota; Viridiplantae; Streptophyta; Magnoliopsida; Fabales; Fabaceae
Exons: 2
Source: RefSeq, a predicted model, not a curated record